RNAcentral lists this long non-coding RNA (2501 nucleotides) under Capra hircus (goat). Its description in RNAcentral is "lncRNA (ENSCHIG00010017771.1)". Lineage: Eukaryota; Metazoa; Chordata; Mammalia; Artiodactyla; Bovidae. The record is from RNAcentral.
GAAAUAGAUGGUGUUAAAAACAAAAUUCAACUGAGUAAAUUUUCAGGAUAUCAUUGACUUUAUUCAGUAAUUCAUGAAUCAAGCAACAUGAAAUCUAACAGAAAGUCAAAAGAUUUUAUAGGCAGAAGGGAGCAGGAACAGGGAAACUGUACUAGGCAAAAAGCAGAAGGAUUAUGGCAGGGUUUCUUUCCUUUAGGGGAGGGUAGGAGUCUACAGGCAGAUGACCUAACUGAAACUGAUCUGGCAAUUUCUAAUUGACUGGUUUAAGAUUCCAUUUCUAAGACAGACAAACUGAAUUAAAUGAAGUCUUGGUUUGGUGAGUGGUGGCUUAGCAUAAGUGACUCCAUUUUGGGCCUGUUGUCUUUAACAGUAGUGUUGGUUCCAGGGUCAAAGAAAGAGCACAAACAGUCAAUUUCACUCUAAUGCAAUGUGAGUACACCCAACACCUAACCACACCCCUACCCAUUUCGCAGGAUGGAACUCGGACUGGCCAUCUAAGCCUGGGGAGCCUUCCAGAGAGGCUCAAACCUCUUUUGCACCUAGAGGCGUCUAUUGUACUAGAAAACGGGAACUUCCCCAAACCACAUUAUAAAGAUUGUGAGCUAUCUUAUUGUCUAAUUCUGUGCUAUAUUUAGAUACUCAACCGGAUUUCAUGAAAAAAGUCUAAAUUUGAGGCCCUUUGGAAAUGUGAGGUCUAGGCAAAAAAAUUCUCCUCUUCUCCCUCACCUCCAUCCCCAAAUCGAUUUUCCUCCAUGAUAAAGUUUGACAAAGUAAUACAGCCUCACCAGAGCUCCUGUGAGUCUGUUCAGAGCCUUUAUUUAGUAUAGCAAGUUUCCCACUCUGGGACUACCAGCGAGGGAUGCACAGACUGGGGCCCCUAUUGGCCCCUCCACCAGGCAGCUUUGUGUAGUAUACAACCUGUGCCACCAUAUAAAGCCACCCUAAGACAACUGUCUGACCCUUCGGGGAAAAAAAUCAGACCCUUUGUCUGGAGUUGAAGGAUAAAAGAGAGGGUGAAUCUAAUUGCAUCAGAUAUCUUAGGCCCCACUGUGCCAUGCGUCCAGGGUAACUGGGAUCCAAAUCAUCUCGGACUUGAGAGCAGGAACUUGCUUCUUAAAGGAAGUGAUUUCUGUCUUCCAGUCACUUGUGUUUUUAACAACUGGCUGUUUCUUGCCUUUUGUGUCCUCCUAUAACUCUGCUUACAGAAUGAGCCCGCAAAGGAUGGGCUGAAGCUGGGUUGGGAAAGCUUUUGAAAGCAAGCCAGGCGGAAACUUGAAGACAAAAGGUCUUCAAGCAGAUAUUAUUUGCAGUCUUGGGUUAAGCAGCUGCUGGGGGUGGGGGAAGACAGUAAGAAGUGUGCCCUAAAUGAAGCUUCGAAGGGGGACUUGUUUAGCUUGGUAGGCUGGGGAGGUUGAAAGAGGCCAUAGGACAAGGUCUUUUUUUUAAUCCGCCACUCCCUUCCCCGAGCUGAGACUUGUUAAUCAGGUAUGGGUGGUAAAGUUCCCUAAAUGUGCAGCCUGACAGCAGUGCCUGACAGCUGGUAGUCAGGUUGCCAUGUCAACAGGAAGAGACCCUACUGGGGUUUAUAUUUACUCAUCACCAAGUUCUCUGAGUGGUUCUUUUUUAAAGAUUGAUUUAUUUAUUCAUUUGACUGUAGGGUUUGUUGCUGCACCUGGGCUUUCUCUAGAUGUGGUGGGCAGGAGCUACUCCUCGUUGCAGUGCAUGGCUUUUCAUUGCAGUGACUUCUCUUGUGGAGCUUGAGCUCUAGAGCUCAGGCUCAGUAGUUGUGGCCCACGGCCUUAGUUGCUACACGGCGUGAGGGAUCUUCCCAGACCAGGGAUCAAACCGGUGUCCCUUGCGUUGCAAGGCAGAUUCUUAACCACUGCACCACAAGGGAAGCCCCUGUAUGAGUAGCUCUUACCUAUGGAUAAAGCUAAAAAAGCUGAUCUCUGACCCCCAGAUUACUUCCCUAGGCAAUGGAAUUAUUUUGACUGCAGUGGGGAAGACUGGGAUCCUACAGAGGUACCCCGCAAAGGUGGGUGGGAGUGGAAGAGGGAUGGAGUUCCCAUGAGCAUUCUGUUUCCCUGACAGGGAAAUUCACAUUUAUGGUGCAUCUCCUAUGUGUCUGAUAUUCUGCUAUAAGCUGCACAGAUUAGGUUUUAUUUCAUUCUCACACCUAACCUAUAGGAUUGCUACUGGUAUUCCCAUUUUACAGAUAAGCAAAGAGAGGCUAAACGGCCAAACAGCAGAGCAGUAGUUAACCGAAGUUAGGUCCACAAGAUGGAUUAUUAUGCAGCUAUUUAAAAGUCAUCUUUCUGAAUAUGUUUCUUGACACAUUCUCAAAACUGCACAAUACAGCCUGCCUAUAUGAUAAAAUACACGUGAUGAAUAAAUAUCCAUAGGAAAAGGUAUGGAUAAUAAUAUUGUUGUUGUUGUUCAGUCACUCAGUCGUGUCCAACUCUGUGACCCCAUGGAAUGCAGCACGCCAGGCUUCCCUGUCC